This 403-nucleotide ribosomal RNA is filed under the name Verrucomicrobiota bacterium. RNAcentral's name for it is "Verrucomicrobia bacterium partial 16S ribosomal RNA". It matches the Rfam family "Bacterial small subunit ribosomal RNA", at positions 355 to 776 of the family's 1533-position model. Lineage: Bacteria; Pseudomonadati; Verrucomicrobiota. The record is from RNAcentral.
UGGGGAAUAUUGCACAAUGGGGGAAACCCUGAUGCAGCGACGCCGCGUGAACGAAGAAGGUAUUCGUAUCGUAAAGUUCUGUCCUAUGGGAAGAUAAUGACAGUACCAUAGAAGAAAGCUCCGGCUAAAUACGUGCCAGCAGCCGCGGUAAUACGUAUGGAGCGAGCGUUGUCCGGAAUUAUUGGGCGUAAAGGGUACGCAGGCGGUUUAAUAAGUCGAAUGUUAAAGAUCGGGGCUCAACCCCGUUAAGCAUUGGAAACUGAUAAACUUGAGUAGUGGAGAGGAAAGUGGAAUUCCUAGUGUAGUGGUGAAAUACGUAGAUAUUAGGAGGAAUACCAGUAGCGAAGGCGACUUUCUGGACACAAACUGACGCUGAGGUACGAAAGCGUGGGGAGCAAACAGG